GUUGCUACUUCUUGCUUCGGGUUGGUUUUUUACCCUGGCGAGCUCUCUUCAAAUGAAAAUAAGAUGGGACUUAACAAUUCCAGCUUUAAGAAAGCUGCAACCAGCAAUUAAAGAAAGUUAAACUACCUCUUCUUUCUCAGGAUCAUAGCAACAUAGGUUUUACCUCCCGUAUUACCAGCGUUACUUAAUUAUUGCCAGUUAUUUCAAACAGCUGGAAACAACUUGGAAAGCUGCUUAACUAGAGAGAACCACUGACUGCCUACAGACACAGAAACCAAAUUGUCUGGGCUUGAAUUCAGUGCCACGACUUGGGAAAGUCAUUGAAUUAUGCGUGUGUCUUGAUUUCCCCAUUGUACAAUGGCCCAUUCCAGAGCCAUCAUUCUUGAAUACUUUUCUUGGCAUUCCUAGAACAACUGCACUAUUGCACAUGUUCCUCUUAGUUUCUCCCAUCAUGUUUGCUGGAGUACAGCCACAAAUAAAUUUCUUAGAAAGAAUGACUCAGA
This 503-nucleotide long non-coding RNA is filed under the name Homo sapiens (human). RNAcentral's name for it is "HSALNT0125369". Lineage: Eukaryota; Metazoa; Chordata; Mammalia; Primates; Hominidae. The record is from RNAcentral.